GGUGGCUCAGUGGUAGAGUGCUUGCCUGGCAUGCAUAAGGCCCUGGGUUCAAUUCCUCAGCACCA
This 65-nucleotide transfer RNA is filed under the name Dipodomys ordii (Ord's kangaroo rat). It matches the Rfam family "tRNA". From Rfam's summary of the family: Transfer RNA (tRNA) molecules are approximately 80 nucleotides in length. Their secondary structure includes four short double-helical elements and three loops (D, anti-codon, and T loops). The record is from Rfam by way of RNAcentral. Lineage: Eukaryota; Metazoa; Chordata; Mammalia; Rodentia; Heteromyidae.